AAUAUUGGACAAUGGGCGAAAGCCUGAUCCAGCCAUGCCGCGUGUGUGAAGAAGGUCUUCGGAUUGUAAAGCACUUUAAGUUGGGAGGAAGGGGUUGAAGCUAAUACCUUCAAUCUUUGACGUUACCAACAGAAUAAGCACCGGCUAACUCUGUGCCAGCAGCCGCGGUAAUACAGAGGGUGCAAGCGUUAAUCGGAAUUACUGGGCGAAAAGGCGGCGAGGUGGUUUCAUAAAGUUGAAAUUGAAUUCCCCGGGCUUAACCGGGAACUGCCUUCAAAACUGGCCAGCUUAGAUUACGUUGAAGGGUAUGGGAAUUCCUGUGUUACCGUGGAAAGGGUUAGUAUUAGGAAGGACAUCCGUUGCGAAAGCCACCUACCGGACUUGUUCUUGACCUUGAGGGGCAAAACGGGGGGGGCCAAACGG
RNAcentral lists this ribosomal RNA (423 nucleotides) under uncultured bacterium. Its description in RNAcentral is "partial 16S ribosomal RNA". It matches the Rfam family "Bacterial small subunit ribosomal RNA", at positions 360 to 775 of the family's 1533-position model. The record is from RNAcentral.